ACGCUCGACACCUACGGGGGGCAGCAGUGGGGGAAUAUUGGGCAAUGGGCGCAAGCCUGACCCAGCAACGCCGCGUGAAGGAAGAAGGCCCUCGGGUUGUAAACUUCUUUUAACAGGGACGAAGUAAGUGACGGUACCUGUUGAAUAAGCCACGGCUAACUACGUGCCAGCAGCUGCGGUAAUCUGAGCGGGCUGGCAAGGC
RNAcentral lists this ribosomal RNA (202 nucleotides) under uncultured bacterium. Its description in RNAcentral is "partial 16S ribosomal RNA". It matches the Rfam family "Bacterial small subunit ribosomal RNA", at positions 328 to 539 of the family's 1533-position model. The record is from RNAcentral.